AUACUCUGGUUUCUCUUCAGAUCUCAUAAAUCUUUUGCCUUUUACUAAAGAUUUCCGUGGAGAGGAACAACUGUGAGUCUGAAACCAAUUUUAUGAGGCCUUACCUUGGCAAGGCU
This is a small nuclear RNA of Otolemur garnettii (small-eared galago), 116 nucleotides long. Its record names the gene U5. It matches the Rfam family "U5 spliceosomal RNA". Rfam says of the family: U5 RNA is a component of both types of known spliceosome. The record is from Ensembl. Lineage: Eukaryota; Metazoa; Chordata; Mammalia; Primates; Galagidae.